GAAUAACUUCUGUUGCCAGCUCAUGUGUGCAGAGUGGCUCUAUGUCAAAGUCCACACUUUCCACACUCUGGGGGAGUAUCUCCCAGGGCAGAACUUAAACAGCAGCUACUAGUAUGGCAGCACGAGGUAUCUGACACUGGUCCUAGAGCUGCAUAUCCAUGAACAUCCUCAGCAUGCACUGGAUGUUCCAAAUUAUCUUCCACCUCUGCCAACACCAGAUGAACUGAAUUGCUCACAGAUUGGAACUGCUGACAUAAACCGUCAAUGUGAAUUCAACCACUGCACUUCAAUCAACUUCAGCAUGAGCCUGAUUAACUCAGAGCAUUGGCGGUCUGCACUAAACAACCCAUCAUCUGGCAGUCACUCACAGUACCUGAAAAGCCCAGCCAGACCUGGACUACUUGGCCUUGAACAGAGUCUUCUGCACAAACAGCAAGGGCAAGCCUACCAUCAGGAGCUUUAAAUGGAAUCAGUUAAGGCAAAACAAGAUGAAAUUUAAAGGCCGUGAAGCAAGGUCACUUACAUCCAGAUUCAGCCAACUACAUUUAAAAUGUGGUUCAACUAAGACUCUACGUUAGCUAAGCACGCAAGUGGCCUCUCCUGAAAGUGAAGAUCCAGGCUAUAGAGUCCAUGGAGAGAAUUAAUGGCAGACCAAAUGCAGGGCUUUGAUUUGAUUGAAGUUUCAGAUCUCCACUAUUUGUAAUGGGAUAUUAUGGACCAAGCUCACCUGCACAAACCCACAUGUAGAAAGUCACAUUUAGACAUCUUAAUCUGAGCUACUGCAAUGGUUGAAGGCUGGCUGUAGACCCAUGUGAGAUUUCUCCACCUAGUGGAUACUCCACUUCAUUAACCAUUUUAUAAAAUAUCUUCACCUUGUCUUUAGCAACUGCUAAGUUAAGCAGCCUCAUUUCUCCACCAUUUCACUAGUCUGUCCAUGCUUUGUAGAGGGAUGAAAUGGAUGAUACACUGAGUCUUCUUCAGAUCUAAGGAGGAACCUUUAUGUGACUUCUGGAAUCCUCACUGUACUGUCUCCAAUUUCUUCCUGUUAAAUGAUUUUUAUUUAUUCAUUUACUAAUUUAUUACUGUGAGUAUAUUUUCCAAGCCAUCAUAGAAGCAGAAUACAACAAAAUAUG
Molecule: long non-coding RNA, 1133 nt
Organism: Gallus gallus (chicken)
Lineage: Eukaryota; Metazoa; Chordata; Aves; Galliformes; Phasianidae
Source: Ensembl